GAUGAACGCUGGCGGCGUGCCUAAUACAUGCAAGUCGAGCGAAUGGACGAGAAGCUUGCUUCUCUGAUGUUAGCGGCGGACGGGUGAGUAACACGUGGAUAACCUACCUAUAAGACUGGGAUAACUUCGGGAAACCGGAGCUAAUACCGGAUAAUAUUUUGAACCGCAUGGUUCAAAAGUGAAAGACGGUCUUGCUGUCACUUAUAGAUGGAUCCGCGCUGCAUUAGCUAGUUGGUAAGGUAACGGCUUACCAAGGCAACGAUGCAUAGCCGACCUGAGAGGGUGAUCGGCCACACUGGAACUGAGACACGGUCCAGACUCCUACGGGAGGCAGCAGUAGGGAAUCUUCCGCAAUGGGCGAAAGCCUGACGGAGCAACGCCGCGUGAGUGAUGAAGGUCUUCGGAUCGUAAAACUCUGUUAUUAGGGAAGAACAUGUGUGUAAGUAACUGUGCACAUCUUGACGGUACCUAAUCAGAAAGCCACGGCUAACUACGUG
This 497-nucleotide ribosomal RNA is filed under the name uncultured bacterium. RNAcentral's name for it is "partial 16S ribosomal RNA". It matches the Rfam family "Bacterial small subunit ribosomal RNA", at positions 28 to 507 of the family's 1533-position model. The record is from RNAcentral.